RNAcentral lists this ribosomal RNA (237 nucleotides) under uncultured bacterium. Its description in RNAcentral is "partial 16S ribosomal RNA". It matches the Rfam family "Bacterial small subunit ribosomal RNA", at positions 100 to 334 of the family's 1533-position model. The record is from RNAcentral.
CGGCACGGGUGAGUAACACGUAUCCAACCUGCCGUCUACUCUUGGACAGCCUUCUGAAAGGAAGAUUAAUACAAGAUGGCAUCAUGAGUUCACAUGUUCACAUGAUUAAAAGGUAUUCCGGUAGACGAUGGGGAUGCGUUCCAUUAGAUAGUAGGCGGGGUAACGGCCCACCUAGUCUUCGAUGGAUAGGGGUUCUGAGAGGAAGGUCCCCCACAUUGGAACUGAGACACGGUCCAA